AGGAUAGUAGUUAAAUAUAACAUUUGGGUUGCAUUCAAAAAGUAUUGAUUUAUUCAAUCUAUCUU
This 65-nucleotide transfer RNA is filed under the name Symploce macroptera. RNAcentral's name for it is "tRNA-Ala". RNAcentral also lists the same sequence under 1 other name. Lineage: Eukaryota; Metazoa; Arthropoda; Insecta; Blattodea; Blattellidae. The record is from RNAcentral.